RNAcentral lists this ribosomal RNA (501 nucleotides) under uncultured bacterium. RNAcentral's name for it is "partial 16S ribosomal RNA". It matches the Rfam family "Bacterial small subunit ribosomal RNA", at positions 30 to 523 of the family's 1533-position model. The record is from RNAcentral.
AUUGAACGCUGGCGGCAGGCUUAACACAUGCAAGUCGAGCGGAGCGAGGGUGCUUGCACCUUAGCUUAGCGGCGGACGGGUGAGUAAUGCUUAGGAAUCUGCCUAUUAGUGGGGGACAACAUUCCGAAAGGAAUGCUAAUACCGCAUACGCCCUACGGGGGAAAGCAGGGGAUCUUCGGACCUUGCGCUAAUAGAUGAGCCUAAGUCGGAUUAGCUAGUUGGUGGGGUAAAGGCCUACCAAGGCGACGAUCUGUAGCGGGUCUGAGAGGAUGAUCCGCCACACUGGGACUGGAACACGGCCCAGACUCCUACGGGAGGCAGCAGUGGGGAAUAUUGGACAAUGGGCGGAAGCCUGAUCCAGCCAUGCCGCGUGUGUGAAGAAGGCCUUUUGGUUGUAAAGCACUUUAAGCGAGGAGGAGGCUCUUAAGGUUAAUACCCUUGAUGAGUGGACGUUACUCGCAGAAUAAGCACCGGCUAACUCUGUGCCAGCCGCCGCGGUAA